UAAGUCAGUGGUGAAAUUCUGUAGCUUAACUAUAGAACUGCCAUUGAUACUGUAGGGCUUGAGUGUUGUUGAGGCAGGCGGAAUUUAUGGUGUAGCGGUGAAAUGCAUAGAUACCAUAAAGAACACCGAUAGCGUAGGCAGCUUACUGGAGUAUAACUGACGCUGAGGCACGAAAGCAUGGGUAGCGAACAGGAUUAGAUACCCUGGUAGUCCACACCGUAAACGAUGAAUGCCAGUCGUCGGGCAGUAUACUGUUCGGUGACACACCUAACGGAUUAAGCAUUCCGCCUGGGGAGUACGGUCGCAAGAUUAAAACUCAAAGGAAUUGACGGGGGCCCGCACAAGCGGUGGAG
RNAcentral lists this ribosomal RNA (353 nucleotides) under Oxyrrhis marina. RNAcentral describes it as "partial Bacterial small subunit ribosomal RNA". It matches the Rfam family "Bacterial small subunit ribosomal RNA", at positions 584 to 937 of the family's 1533-position model. Lineage: Eukaryota; Dinophyceae; Oxyrrhinales; Oxyrrhinaceae. The record is from RNAcentral.